Molecule: ribosomal RNA, 429 nt
Filed under: Chloroflexota bacterium
Lineage: Bacteria; Bacillati; Chloroflexota
Description: Chloroflexi bacterium partial 16S ribosomal RNA
Rfam family: Bacterial small subunit ribosomal RNA
Source: RNAcentral
UGGGGAAUAUUGCACAAUGGGCGCAAGCCUGAUGCAGCCAUGCCGCGUGUGUGAAGAAGGCCUUCGGGUUGUAAAGUACUUUCAGCGGGGAGGAAGGGAGUAAAGUUAAUACCUUUGCUCAUUGACGUUACCCGCAGAAGAAGCACCGGCUAACUCCGUGCCAGCAGCCGCGGUAAUACGGAGGGUGCAAGCGUUAAUCGGAAUUACUGGGCGUAAAGCGCACGCAGGCGGUCUGUCAAGUCGGAUGUGAAAUCCCCGGGCUCAACCUGGGAACUGCAUUCGAAACUGGCAGGCUAGAGUCUUGUAGAGGGGGGUAGAAUUCCAGGUGUAGCGGUGAAAUGCGUAGAGAUCUGGAGGAAUACCGGUGGCGAAGGCGGCCCCCUGGACAAAGACUAACGCUCAGGUGCGAAAGCGUGGGGAGCAAACAGG